RNAcentral lists this ribosomal RNA (450 nucleotides) under uncultured bacterium. Its description in RNAcentral is "bacterial SSU rRNA". It matches the Rfam family "Bacterial small subunit ribosomal RNA", at positions 354 to 796 of the family's 1533-position model. The record is from RNAcentral.
GUAGGGAAUCUUCCGCAAUGGACGAAAGUCUGACGGAGCAACGCCGCGUGAGUGAUGAAGGUUUUCGGAUCGUAAAACUCUGUUGUCAGGGAAGAACAAGUACGAUAGUAACUGAUCGUACCUUGACGGUACCUGACCAGAAAGCCACGGCUAACUACGUGCCAGCAGCCGCGGUAAUACGUAGGUGGCAAGCGUUGUCCGGAAUUAUUGGGCGUAAAGCGCUCGCAGGCGGUUCUUUAAGUCUGAUGUGAAAUCUUGCGGCUCAACCGCAAACGUGCAUUGGAAACUGGAGGACUUGAGUGCAGAAGAGGAGAGUGGAAUUCCACGUGUAGCGGUGAAAUGCGUAGAGAUGUGGAGGAACACCAGUGGCGAAGGCGACUCUCUGGUCUGUAACUGACGCUGAGGAGCGAAAGCGUGGGGAGCGAACAGGAUUAGAAACCCUUGUAGUCC